UACGUAGGGUGCAAGCGUUGUCCGGAAUUAUUGGGCGUAAAGAGCUCGUAGGCGGCUUGUCGCGUCGGCUGUGAAAACCUGGGGCUCAACCCCGGGCCUGCAGCCGAUACGGGCAAGCUAGAAUUCGGUAGGGGAGACUGGAAUUCCUGGUGUAGCGGUGAAAUGCGCAGAUAUCAGGAAGAACACCAAUGGCGAAAGCAGCUCUCUGGGACGGUACUGACGCUGAGACGCGAAAGCGUGGGGAGCGAACAGG
This 253-nucleotide ribosomal RNA is filed under the name uncultured bacterium. Its description in RNAcentral is "partial 16S ribosomal RNA". It matches the Rfam family "Bacterial small subunit ribosomal RNA", at positions 524 to 776 of the family's 1533-position model. The record is from RNAcentral.